GGCGUGCCUAUACAUGCAAGUCGAGCGGACCGACGGGAGCUUGCUCCCUUAGGUCAGCGGCGGACGGGUGAGUAACACGUGGGUAACCUGCCUGUAAGACUGGGAUAACUCCGGGAAACCGGGGCUAAUACCGGAUGCUUGAUUGAACCGCAUGGUUCAAUCAUAAAAGGCGGCUUCGGCUGCCGUUUACAGAUGGACCCGCGGCGCAUUAGCUAGUUGGUGAGGUAACGGCUCACCAAGGCGACGAUGCGUAGCCGACCUGAGAGGGUGAUCGGCCACACUGGGACUGAGACACGGCCCAGACUCCUACGGGAGGCAGCAGUAGGGAAUCUUCCGCAAUGGACGAAAGUCUGACGGAGCAACGCCGCGUGAGUGAUGAAGGUUUUCGGAUCGUAAAGCUCUGUUGUUAGGGAAGAACAAGUACCGUUCGAAUAGGGCGGUACCUUGACGGUACCUAACCAGAAAGCCACGGCUAACUACGUGCCAGCAGCCGCGGUAAUACGUAGGUGGCAAGCGUUGUCCGGAAUUAUUGGGCGUAAAGCGCGCGCAGGCGGUUUCUUAAGUCUGAUGUGAAAGCCCCCGGCUCAACCGGGGAGGGUCAUUGGAAACUGGGGAACUUGAGUGCAGAAGAGGAGAGU
RNAcentral lists this ribosomal RNA (638 nucleotides) under Bacillus sp. (in: firmicutes). Its description in RNAcentral is "bacterial SSU rRNA". It matches the Rfam family "Bacterial small subunit ribosomal RNA", at positions 41 to 662 of the family's 1533-position model. The record is from RNAcentral. Lineage: Bacteria; Bacillati; Bacillota; Bacilli; Caryophanales; Bacillaceae.